This 679-nucleotide ribosomal RNA is filed under the name Bacteroidetes bacterium enrichment culture clone D2CL_Bac_16S_Clone21. Its description in RNAcentral is "bacterial SSU rRNA". It matches the Rfam family "Bacterial small subunit ribosomal RNA", at positions 650 to 1333 of the family's 1533-position model. The record is from RNAcentral. Lineage: Bacteria; Pseudomonadati; Bacteroidota.
GGAUGAAGUAGGCGGAAUUUGUGGUGUAGCGGUGAAAUGCUUAGAUAUCACGAGGAACUCCGAUUGCGCAGGCAGCUUACUAAACCACUACUGACGCUCAUGCACGAAGGCGUGGGGAUCAAACAGGAUUAGAUACCCUGGUAGUCCACGCAGUAAACGAUGAUUACUAGUUGUUUGCGAUACAAUGUAAGCGACUGAGCGAAAGCGUUAAGUAAUCCACCUGGGGAGUACGUCCGCAAGAAUGAAACUCAAAGGAAUUGACGGGGGCCCGCACGAGCGGAGGAACAUGUGGUUUAAUUCGAUGAUACGCGAGGAACCUUACCCGGGCUUGAAAUGCGGCGGACCGGCAGAGAGAUCUGCCUUCCCUUCGGGGCCGCCGUGUAGGUGCUGCAUGGUUGUCGUCAGCUCGUGCCGUGAGGUGUCGGCUUAAGUGCCAUAACGAGCGCAACCCUCAUCAUUAGUUACUAACAGGUCAUGCUGAGGACUCUAGUGAGACUGCCAUCGUAAGAUGCGAGGAAGGUGGGGAUGACGUCAAAUCAGCACGGCCCUUACGUCCGGGGCGACACACGUGUUACAAUGGGUGGUACAAAGGGCAGCUACCUGGCGACAGGAUGCUAAUCUCCAAAACCACUCUCANUUCGGAUCGGAGUCNGCNACUCGACUCCGUGAAGCUGGAUUC